GAGACAGGUGAUAGGGAUAGGAGACGGGUGAUAGGGAUAGGAGACAGGUGAUAGGGAUAGGAGACGGGUGAUAGGGAUAGGAGAUAGGUGAUAGGGAUAGGAGAUGGGUGAUAGGGAUAGGAGACGGGCGAUAGGAGACAGGUGAUAGGGAUAGGAGACGGGUGAUAGGGAUAGGAGACGGGCGAUAGGAGACAGGUGAUAGGGAUAGGAGACGGGUGAUAGGGAUAGGAGACGGGCGAUAGGAGACAGGUGAUAGGGAUAGGAGACAGGUGAUAGGGAUAGGAGACGGGCGAUAGGAGACAGGUGAUAGGGAUAGGAGACAGG
Molecule: long non-coding RNA, 324 nt
Organism: Oncorhynchus tshawytscha (Chinook salmon)
Lineage: Eukaryota; Metazoa; Chordata; Actinopteri; Salmoniformes; Salmonidae
Source: Ensembl